UUUCCAUUAUUUUAGCAAACACUAGAGCCAGCUGAACGGACCGUAAUUACUGGGCGAAAACACAACUUUUCUUUGAAAAUGACGCGGCAUCAAAGAAACUGUACUGCUGGGACUGUUUACACUUAUCAUGAGCGGCAGAAAGAUGCAGUGACUCAGAGGUAUUAACGAUGUCUAGGAGGGCAGCACUGUCUUCACGGGAUCUUAAUGCGGCAACAUCCCAUGAACAUCCCAUGAGCAAGCUGCCAGUGCCCUCCAAGCCUCGCCAGGUGAAACUGAAAGUCAAGCCGUGGACGAGGUGAGUUAAAAUACUUGUUAUAAUAAAUAAUUCAAAUGGG
Molecule: long non-coding RNA, 335 nt
Organism: Patiria miniata (bat star)
Lineage: Eukaryota; Metazoa; Echinodermata; Asteroidea; Valvatida; Asterinidae
Exons: 3
Source: RefSeq, a predicted model, not a curated record